GUCGCCAUCAGCUCACACAAAGUCAUGUAGAUCAACAGCGCCUGGUGUCGUUCCAUUGAAGCUGAAAUGCCAAACAACUAUGCACCUGCUGGGGUGCCUGCUACGUGCAGCCAUCAAGCAAGCAAGCAAGGACCUUGAGGCAAGCCACAAUGGAGCAUUACAGCAGCAGCACCAGAGAGAAAAGGACCACAAGAAGCUUCAAUUCCAGCGCAGUGAUCAGUCAGAAGGGCUGGCACAGUAUUGGAAUAAUGGACCAUGAGCAUCCAGCAUGUUGCAACCUUUAUAUAUGGGGCCCGUUUUCUAAGGCUGCACAGGCUCGAAGGUGCCGGUUAGCUUGCCAGUAUCCAUUCAAAUGUUAUGACUGGCAGUGCAAGGACCCAGUCUGCAAUAAACGCUCAUUGGCGUACCUGCCAAAUGUGGUACGCGCCCAGCAGAAACGCAAAAGGUGUCUGGGUGUGCUGCAGGGAACACGCAUCAGCAUUUCUGGGACAAAUAGUUCGCGUUUGAGGAGAGGCGAAUGCACGGACCGAGGAUAUGAGAAGCGCGCCGCGUGUGCGCUCAGUGCUCUCUCUGUGGCCUUCGUUACGGCCAGUCCUGUCUCCUGUAAAAGCGCAUCUUGACGCCUUGUGU
This 630-nucleotide long non-coding RNA is filed under the name Rhipicephalus microplus (southern cattle tick). RNAcentral's name for it is "uncharacterized LOC119180832, transcript variant X2". The record is from RNAcentral. Lineage: Eukaryota; Metazoa; Arthropoda; Arachnida; Ixodida; Ixodidae.